CCAGCCCUGCCCUGACCCUGCAGCUCUGGCAGAGGAGCCCAGCCCUGGAUUCCCAAGUCCUCCCACUCAGUGAUUUGCACUGAACACAGAACACUCACCAUGGACUUGAGGCUCCGUUCAUUUUUCCUGCUCUUCAUUUUAAAAGGUGUCCAGUGUGAGGUGCAGCUGGUGGAGUCUGGGGGAGGCCUAGUGCAGCCUGAAAAGUCCCUGAAACUCUCCUGUGCAGCCUCUGGAUUCACUUUCAGUAGCUAUGAAAUGAACUGGGUCCGCCAGGCUCCAGGGAAGGGACUGGAGUGGGUCGCAUACAUUAGUAGUGGUGGGGGUACCAUCUACUAUGCCGAUGCCGUGAAGGGCCGAUUCACCAUCUCCAGAGACAAUGCCAAGAACACCCUGUACCUGGAAAUGAGCAGUCUGAAAUCUGAAGACACAGCCACGUAUUAUUGUGCCAGAAGCACAGUGAUACAAAUUUCCUGUGGACUCAGACACAAACCUCCCUGCAGUGUGCCAGGACCAGCAGGGGCGCUGCUAGAACAGAGAGUGUGGGUCUUGGAUGAGUCUGUUCAGAGAGGCAUUAAGAGCUGGCCUCUGUUUCUUGGCUGCUUCUCCAUAUCACACUCAAGGAUUCUUUUUAAAGGUAUAGUGUGUACUAAUCCUUGA
Molecule: non-coding RNA, 657 nt
Organism: Peromyscus leucopus (white-footed mouse)
Lineage: Eukaryota; Metazoa; Chordata; Mammalia; Rodentia; Cricetidae
Source: the annotation of a RefSeq genome assembly